This 73-nucleotide transfer RNA is filed under the name Candidatus Altarchaeales archaeon. Its description in RNAcentral is "tRNA-Gln". It matches the Rfam family "tRNA". Rfam says of the family: Transfer RNA (tRNA) molecules are approximately 80 nucleotides in length. Their secondary structure includes four short double-helical elements and three loops (D, anti-codon, and T loops). Further hydrogen bonds mediate the characteristic L-shaped molecular structure. tRNAs have two regions of fundamental functional importance: the anti-codon, which is responsible for specific mRNA codon recognition, and the 3' end, to which the tRNAs corresponding amino acid is attached (by aminoacyl-tRNA synthetases). tRNAs cope with the degeneracy of the genetic code in two manners: having more than one tRNA (with a specific anti-codon) for a particular amino acid; and 'wobble' base-pairing, i.e. permitting non-standard base-pairing at the 3rd anti-codon position. Lineage: Archaea; Nanobdellati; Candidatus Altarchaeota; Candidatus Altarchaeia; Candidatus Altarchaeales. The record is from RNAcentral.
AGCCUCGUGGUGUAGUGGCCUAUCAUUCUGGUCUUUGGAACCGGAGACUCAGGUUCGAAUCCUGGCGAGGCUA